RNAcentral lists this ribosomal RNA (855 nucleotides) under uncultured Bacteroidota bacterium. Its description in RNAcentral is "bacterial SSU rRNA". It matches the Rfam family "Bacterial small subunit ribosomal RNA", at positions 8 to 885 of the family's 1533-position model. The record is from RNAcentral. Lineage: Bacteria; Pseudomonadati; Bacteroidota.
AGAGUUUGAUCAUGGCUCAGGAUGAACGCUAGCGGCGGGCUUAAUACAUGCAAGUCAAGGGGUAGCAAUACACCGGCGUACGGGUGCGUAACGCGUAUGGAACCUGCCCUUAUCUGGGGGAUAACUCGGGGAAACUCGAGCUAAUACCGCAUAAGAUAGUAGAGUGGCAUCACUCAGCUAUUAAAGAUUUAUCGGAUAAGGAUGGCCAUGCGUAAGAUUAGAUAGUUGGCGAGGUAACGGCUCACCAAGUCUACGAUCUUUAGGGGCUCUGAGAGGAGAAUCCCCCACACUGGCACUGAGAUACGGGCCAGACUCCUACGGGAGGCAGCAGUAGGGAAUAUUGGGCAAUGGGCGGAAGCCUGACCCACCCACGCCGCGUGCAGGAAGACGGCCCUCUGGGUUGUAAACUGCUUUUAACUGGGAAGAAAGCAGCUCAUGCGUGAGAAUUUGACGGUGCCAGUUGAAUAAGCCACGGCUAACUACGUGCCAGCAGCCGCGGUAAUACGUAGGUGGCGAGCGUUAUCCGGAUUUAUUGGGUUUAAAGGGAGCGUAGGCGGCUGAUUAAGUCAGCGGUGAAAGGUAGCAGCUUAACUGUUUUACAUGCCGUUGAUACUGGUUAGCUUGAGUUGACAGAAGGCAGAUAGAAUUCCUGAUGUAGCGGUGAAAUGCUUAGACAUCAGGAGGAAUACCGAUUGCGAAGGCAGUCUGCUGCAGUCACACUGACGCUGAGGCUCGAAGGUGCGGGGAUCAAACAGGAUUAGAUACCCUGGUAGUCCGCACAGUAAACGAUGAUUACUAGAUGUUGGCAAGCCAGUGUCCAAGGGAAACGAUAAGUAAUCCACCUGGGGAGUACGC